This 1198-nucleotide ribosomal RNA is filed under the name Cerithidea anticipata. RNAcentral's name for it is "partial 16S ribosomal RNA". The stretch from base 657 to 1198 matches the Rfam family "Archaeal large subunit ribosomal RNA", at positions 1423 to 2642 of the family's 2987-position model. Lineage: Eukaryota; Metazoa; Mollusca; Gastropoda; Potamididae. The record is from RNAcentral.
CUUAUUUCUCCGUGGUAUUAUACGUCUAUCUCUAUGCUACUUAUUGAAGCAUCAAAAAAUAUAGUAAUGGCGAUAAAAAUUAUACUUAUUAUAUUUAAGUACCGCAAGGGAAAAUAUGAACUAGAAAAAAAUAGUUUAUUAAGCGUACUUUUUGUAUCACGGCUUAGCAAGAAUGCAUUAGAUAUACUAAUUUCUCGAAAUCUAACGAGCUAUUUCUUUUUGGCAUAUUAGAGCCUUACCUUUAGAUGUAGCAAAAUCCAAAAAAUAAAUAAAAAUAGAGAUGAAAUUUUAUUCGCGUUAGUGAUAGCUAGUUCUCCCUGAAAAAUAUAAAAGUAUUGAAACAGGAUGGUUAGAAGCUAAUCUUGAGCUUCUAACUAUUCUUGAGUUUCACUCGCCUGAGGAUAAGCUCAGGCGAAAUUUUGAGAAUAGUAUACAUACACCUAUUUCUGUAUGAGCUUAAGAUUGGCCAUUAUAAUAAGUUUGUUAUAAAAUAGUCUACAAACUCAAAGAAGAUCAAUAUACUAAAAUUUCCAAUAUAAAAUAGGGGAGUAUUGUCAGUUAAAAUUUAUUAAAUUAAAUACCGAUGCUAAGAUGAGUAUUAUAUUUAAAGGCAACUUGAAAAAACAAUAAAAAGUUUUCUUAAAAUUCCGUUAUUAUUAACAAACUAAAUAUUUAAAAGGAACUCGGCAAAAUCCUGCUUCGCCUGUUUAUCAAAAACAUGGCUCUUUGUUCUUUUUACAUAAAGAGUCGAGCCUGCCCAGUGAAAAUUUUUAACGGCCGCGGUACUCUGACCGUGCAAAGGUAGCAUAAUCAUUUGCCUUAUAAUUGAAGGCUAGUAUGAAUGGUUUGACGAAAGCAGAUCUGUCUCUUUUUUACUAUCUAGAAUUUAACUUUUAGGUGAAGAGGCCUAAAUAUUAUUGAAGGACAAGAAGACCCUGUCGAGCUUAAAAGAACAGGUAGAAGUUAAUAUGUUUUAAAAUAAAUAGUCUCUGAGCUUUUUAGUUGGGGCGACUAAGGCAACAAAAAAAGCUUCUUGACCAAAAAAACCAACAAGUUUAGAUCCAACCACUUUGAUCAAAGAAAUUAGUUACCGCAGGGAUAACAGCAUAAUCUCUCUUGAGAGACCUAAUCGAAAGAGGGGGUUGUGACCUCGAUGUUGGACUAGAAUAUCCUAAAGAUGCAGAAGUCUUUAAGGGUU